RNAcentral lists this ribosomal RNA (460 nucleotides) under uncultured bacterium. RNAcentral's name for it is "partial 16S ribosomal RNA". It matches the Rfam family "Bacterial small subunit ribosomal RNA", at positions 338 to 795 of the family's 1533-position model. The record is from RNAcentral.
CCUACGGGAGGCAGCAGUGAGGAAUAUUGGUCAAUGGACGAGAGUCUGAACCAGCCAAGUAGCGUGAAGGAUGACUGCCCUAUGGGUUGUAAACUUCUUUUAUAAAGGAAUAAAACGAGGCACGUGUGCCUUUUUGCAUGUACUUUAUGAAUAAGGAUCGGCUAACUCCGUGCCAGCAGCCGCGGUAAUACGGAGGAUCCGAGCGUUAUCCGGAUUUAUUGGGUUUAAAGGGAGCGUAGAUGGGUUGUUAAGUCAGUUGUGAAAGUUUGCGGCUCAACCGUAAAAUUGCAAUUGAUACUGGCAGUCUUGAGUACAGUUGAGGUAGGCGGAAUUCGUGGUGUAGCGGUGAAAUGCUUAGAUAUCACGAAGAACCCCGAUUGCGAAGGCAGCAUACUAAACUGUGACUGACGUUGAUGCUCGAAAGUGUGGGUAUCAAACAGGAUUAGAUACCCCUGUAGUC